Molecule: long non-coding RNA, 2001 nt
Organism: Scleropages formosus (Asian bonytongue)
Lineage: Eukaryota; Metazoa; Chordata; Actinopteri; Osteoglossiformes; Osteoglossidae
Exons: 3
Source: RefSeq, a predicted model, not a curated record
GGACAAGGCCAGCGGGGAUGCCAGUCCACUGCAAGCCUGGACAAACCCAACCAACAAUAUUGACAGCUAUACCUGAAAGCAGGGUGGACUGUUGUUAGAAGCAGAUGGCUGGGAGUGUCCACAAUUACCAGGCAAAAAGUGCUGCAGUGAGUAUUCGUUUUACAGAAAACACUAUGUUGCGACCCACUCUACUGAAGGACGCCCCAAUAGGAGCAGGAGUGGGCGCUGGACUGUAAAUAGUUUUUCUUUGGAUAAGGGAAUGUUGAGUCAUCUAAAUAGCUCUGGAACCACAAACAGGAGUGUGGAGGAUGUGAGUGGAUCAGCACUGGUUCUGGAUGCCACUGAGUUCUCUCAAAGUGCAGGUUUUAAAGGGAGUCGGGUUGUCAGACCGAAAAUGGUCUUCUUUCUUUCUCCAUUCACAGAUGUCUCUGUUUUGCUGUUUCCCAGUAUUAAACAUUUGGUAUUACAAAAUCAGAACUGAAAGCAGCACUCAAUGAAAUAUACUAAUGCUGAUUCCUAAAAACAUGAGUACACUGGAUAGUAUUCAGAAAAAAUAAAUUAAAACGAGGACAAGGUUUGACAAGACCAUGAGUAGCUGUUCAUUUUGAACCAUCACUCUGAACAAAGUGGCCCCUCUCUGUAUUGGCUGUAUAACUUUGCACAUUCUGCUCUGAUCAAUCCAUUCGCUCUUAUUGAUUAAGAGGUGCUUUGAAAAAUCAGCUCCAAACAAAAUCACUCCACUUGUUGCACAGUUUUGCUGCUCAUUUGUGUGAAAUCAGACUUGUAACUGUGGACUUGUGUGAUAGUUUCUUCAUUUUACAUAUGGGCAUCUGCUGCAAUAGUUUGAUGAGUUUUAACGUUUUUUUAUCCAUAAACACUGCAAACUGUUUCAAGAUAGACUUGAUAGGAGUAAUGUACGCACACACUCCUGUCCCAUGGCCACAGACAUUCAACCCACUGUCAUUAGUCGUUACCUAAUAAUUUAUGAUCAUGCACAGACAAUUAGCAAACCACAUAUUGCAUGCGCAGAUAAUCAAUAGUAUGCUACAUUUUUUAACUGAAACUUAAUUUUGUUGUUAGGCACUUUUCGCAGGUAAAAGCUGACAGCUCAUUAUGCAAAUUUUACUGUACUGAUUUGCUGGAAAGUGAGAAGUCUCAUUGAAGGAGCUUUUGUUAUUCAAGGAAAACCUGUAAACUCACCCCCUGUUGUUUAAUGUCUUGAUACCUGGUUUUUUGUUAUUCUGUCCAUGAUUAUUAAAUAUACAGGCUUCAGCCUGGCCACACCCAACCAACAAUAUUGACAGCUACACCUGAAAGCAGCAUAUUAAGGGCAUAACAAGGGCCACAUGGAGAUAAAUCAUCUAGUAAAGAAAUCUGUAAAAGGCCCAGAUUCGGAGAGCCUAGGGAGAAAGGAGUCAUCUGUUCUAUGCUGUAGUGACAGCACUUGGUGUGUCCUGACUGUAAUACAGUGAGACUUUGGAGUUGUGACAAAAAAUAAAAAUAACCUUCCAGAAUCAUUCCCUGUCUGAUCACCAUUGAACCUGGCAUGUGCUGGUGUGCAACAUACUGUUUAUCAUGGAUCAGUCUAGGUUUUCAUUUGUUCAGUCUAUGAAAUCAGGUCUUGGCUCACCAUGUUUGGUCUGAUAUGAUAAAGUGAGACUGCACCGGAAAGUUUCACCAAGUGGCUGUGUGAAACAGAGAGCAAGAGAUCAACUGCAUUGUGAGAACUGUGUAACCCGUGCUCUCAGGGACAUUCUGGUACUCAGCAAUUACAGUAUAAUCAUAUCUUUAUUCGCAUCCUCUGUUUUGCACUGUUGUGUUUUCCUUUUCUAAUUUUUCAUUUAUUUAAAUGUGGAAUACAGCAUUCAUCUCCCUCAAGCCAGUCCACAAACCCAAUUACUACCAGUAAGUUUACUUUAUGAAGUCAGUGUUUUUUGAAUUUACAAUAUAUAAUGUUAUUAGGGGGUGCGGCGCAGCGGGUUUGGCCGGGACCUGCUCUCU